CGCGUAGGCGGAUAGUUAAGUCCGGUGUGAAAGAUCAGGGCUCAACCCUGAGAGUGCAUCGGAAACUGGUUAUCUUGAGGACAGGAGAGGAAAGUGGAAUUCCUAGUGUAGCGGUGAAAUGCGUAGAUAUUAGGAGGAACACCAGUGGCGAAGGCGACUUUCUGGACUGUAACUGACGCUGAGGCUCGAAAGCGUGGGGAGCGAACAGGAUUAGAUACCCUCGUA
Molecule: ribosomal RNA, 225 nt
Filed under: uncultured Desulfosporosinus sp.
Lineage: Bacteria; Bacillati; Bacillota; Clostridia; Eubacteriales; Desulfitobacteriaceae
Description: partial 16S ribosomal RNA
Rfam family: Bacterial small subunit ribosomal RNA
Source: RNAcentral